AAAAAAAUAAAUAAAACGGGUGCCUUUUGUUCGAUAAAGGCUGAAAAGGGAAGCCGGUUAAAAUCCGGCGCGGUCCCGCCACUGUAUGGGGGAGGAACUUCACACCAUGUCACUGGGCGUAAAUCCCGGGAAGACGUGAGGUAUCCGAUAAUCCCGAGCCAGGAGACCUGCCCGUUAUUGUUUUAGCCA
This 189-nucleotide non-coding RNA is filed under the name Peptococcaceae bacterium. Lineage: Bacteria; Bacillati; Bacillota; Clostridia; Eubacteriales; Peptococcaceae. The record is from RNAcentral.